RNAcentral lists this long non-coding RNA (231 nucleotides) under Mytilus galloprovincialis (Mediterranean mussel). The record is from RNAcentral. Lineage: Eukaryota; Metazoa; Mollusca; Bivalvia; Mytilida; Mytilidae.
CAAACAGCAAGCUAUAAGGGACCACAACUUAGUAUUGUACACAAUUGAACAGGAAAACCAACGAUCUAAUUUAUAUUUCCAAACGGGAAAAUACCAAUGAAUUAUGAACCACAUCAACAAACGAUAACUGCUGAACGACAGGUCCCUGAAUCAAUCAAGACAGGUGCACAAAACUGCAGCGGGUAUGCCCGUCAGCAUACAUCAUAAUUGCAGUUGAAGGCAAAUCCUUCA